CUGGUCUAAUAAGAUAUUUGAUUGCAAGUCGGAUUUUUGGUUUAAUAACCAUUAGGCUU
This 59-nucleotide transfer RNA is filed under the name Ctenophorus infans. RNAcentral's name for it is "tRNA-Cys". Lineage: Eukaryota; Metazoa; Chordata; Lepidosauria; Squamata; Agamidae. The record is from RNAcentral.